This 19-nucleotide non-coding RNA is filed under the name Arabidopsis thaliana (thale cress). The record is from RNAcentral. Lineage: Eukaryota; Viridiplantae; Streptophyta; Magnoliopsida; Brassicales; Brassicaceae.
GGAUUAACUUGACCUCCUG